GCCGAAAGCCAGACACCUCCGGGCCGCGUGGCCCUGGGCAGCGAACGGGAUCGAGGGAGGCCCGGCUCGCCGAGCGCGGCCGGGCCUGGAGAGGCCCGGGGUGGAGGGCGCCAAGACCUCCGCGCCCCUCAGCCCACCCCCCAGGCCCCGUGCGCACGCACGCCUGGCAUGCCGCUGGGGGUCCCGGAAGCCCUCCGGGCUGCCGAACCUGGCCAGGCGUUUGCUGGCCGCGGGGUGGCAGUGUUCGGGGGCGUGGCGGCAUUGGCCGGCGGAGUCUGGUCGCGGGUCGUUCGGCUCAAGUACAGCGCGCGCCCCCAUGGUGAGGUGCGGCCUGCUGGCCCGACCGGCAGGUCAGAGCGAAAGGGAGGCACAGCGCAGGGCUCUUAGGGCGCCCGGCGGCAGCCGCCUCCUUCUACGGCCAUACCACCCUGAACGCGCCUGAUCUCAUCUGAUCUCGAGGGCUCACAUUUGAUGGUGGUCUUGUCAUCUCCUACCUCUUUCUCGUAAAGCUGGCAGCUGAGGGAAUGAGUUUACCUGCACGAAUUCUCCAGAUGUUUAUACAGCAUCCAGUAUACAACAAAGACUACAUUUUGAACUCGAUGGAAUCUUUACUCUGUUAAUACUUGUUACAUGGACCCGAAGAUAUUACAGGGUUUUUAAUUAGUGAAAAAUUCAUGAAUACCAUAGAGAAAAUAUUUUAGAAUUUAAUGUUUCUGAUAUUUAUGUAAACUUAUGACUUCAUUUAUAUAAUUCCUUCCUUUUUCUUGUAUAUUCAGGCUAUGAAUAUCCUUUCAGAUCAAUUUCAUGUUCUGAUACCUGAUUUCAGUCUUUCAAAUGAAUGUACUGUAGUGCUUGUCUGUAUAAAUCCUAUGAACAAACACAGGGCUUUUGUAAAUGAUGCAUUUAUUGUAAUUAUUCUUGUUUAAUUUUUCAAUGUUAAACCAUGAGAGAAGGGGUUUUCCUGCGAUUGUAAAAUCAUCAUGACACGGUGUGCUUUAUUAUCCUUCCAGAAUGUAACCAAGCUCUCCAACAAUCACUCUGAAAUAAGCAAACUUAAUUUCAACCAAUUGUUGUUGGAUGUUAACGACUGGCCUAAACUGUACUUUUUCUAGCAAGAAAUGCUUUUUGUCCACAGCGUGAAGUGAUUUAAAAGUACUGGGUGUUAAAUGUGAGCUUCUAAUGAAAUUUGGGCUGAAAGGAUGCCUAGAAGAAGACUGAAAAUCUCUCCUGUAACCCAGUCUCUGUGGACCCGGAUCCCUCCUCUCCGGUGAGACUCUUUGGGGACCAAUCGCGAUGCCCUGCACCCGCUGCAGAGCCAUCGAGCUGGACAGUGAAGGUGCCACUUCCCAGACAGACAGGGUAGUGUAGCUCUGACAAAGGCCUUAUUUUUAUGGAAAUCAUCUUUUUACAUGAUUGUAAACAUGUUUAAAGAAUGGACCUAGGCGUACAUUUUUAGAUUGUGAUGACAUAGC
Molecule: long non-coding RNA, 1472 nt
Organism: Bos taurus (domestic cattle)
Lineage: Eukaryota; Metazoa; Chordata; Mammalia; Artiodactyla; Bovidae
Source: Ensembl